Molecule: long non-coding RNA, 3986 nt
Organism: Triticum aestivum (bread wheat)
Lineage: Eukaryota; Viridiplantae; Streptophyta; Magnoliopsida; Poales; Poaceae
Exons: 2
Source: RefSeq, a predicted model, not a curated record
UCGCCUCCCCAACUUGGAAUGAUUUUGGUCUCUUUUUACAGUCAGCAAGUUGUUUAUAUUUCUGAUUUUGUGCUUCCAAAACACCAUGAAUCUCUUCAAAUAACUCAGUGUAAUUAUCAACAAAGGACAAUGCUGAUUUUGAGUUUUCCCUGAUGGUAGCUUCACCAGGUCCACCACAUGUGUUGGAACUUUAGUGCAGACAAUGAAAAAAGGACUCCUUCCUGUGGAUCUAUGCUUUAUUGUAGGACAGCUCUGCAAGAGAUAAAGCCAAAUCCCAUUGCCCCUUCUUUCUCCACAAAUGCAACCGAUCAGAUUACCCAAAAAUUUGUUCACCACUUAAGUUUGUCCAUCUGUUUGUGGAUGGGCAGUGCUGGAAAUUUUUAAUUAGUGUUGAAUUGCUUCCACGAAGUGAGCGAAAAUGCAGCAAGAAACUUGCUACCACGUUCUGAGGCGAUGGACCUUGGAACUCCAUGAAGUCUGACCACUUCUCGAAAGAAUAGGUUUGCCACAUGAUGAGCAUCCAUUGUCCUGUGACAUCGGAUGAAAUGAGCCAUCUUAGAGGAUCUGUCUACGACCACAAACACAAUAUCACUCCCUCGUCUUGUUCUUGGCAAGCCCAAGAUAAAGUCCAUAGCGAUAUCCUCCCAGCAACAGGAAUAGGCUAAGGCAUGUGUAACCCUGUGUUCUGAACUUUGCCUUCGCAGGUUUGACAUAUGGGGCACCGCUGAAUAAACUUUCCAGCAUCUCUCUUUAGUUGUGGCCAAAAGUAACAAGCCUCCAUGUUAGCGAUAGUCUUGUCGCGUCCAACAUGGCCACUAAGAUAUCACUUGAAUGGAGCUCUCUAACCAGUUUGUCACGUAGAGAACUUCUUGGCAUGCACAAAUGAUCAUUUUUGAAGAGAUAGCCAUCUUGCGCCAAAUAGUCAUCACCUAACGGCUUGUGUGCUUCACCCAAACAUGGCCAAAGUCUUCGUCAUCCUCAAACAACUCCUUUAUUUGAUCCAUGCCUAGAAGUUCAGACUCGAAAGAAAUCAAGAGGCAUGCACGCAGACUCAAAGCAUCUGCCACUCCAUUAGUUGUUCCAGAUUUAUGCACGAUGAGAUAAUUAAACCUCUCCAGAUAUAUUGCCCAUCUUGCUAGCAUGCGAUCAACAUGCUUUUGAUUUCUAAAAUGCUUCAAGGAUUGAUGGUCACUGUAAACAAUGAACUCUUUAGGCAGCAAACAGAGUUCCCAAAUUUUCAAAGCUCUGAAAACGGCAUACAAUUCUUGCUGAUAAGUACUACUCCCUCCGUUCCAAAAUAGAUGACUCAACUUUAUACUAACUUUAGUACAAAGUUGGGUCAUCUAUUUUGGAACGGAGGGAGUACAUUUCUUCAAGUUGAGUAGAGCUCAUUUUCCUUUAGUACUUCUAGCACCUUCCGAAUGUGAUCAAAGUGUUCAUCCUCAUCCUUGCUAUAGAUCAAGAUGUCAAAUAAACCACAACAAAGUGGGAUAAGAAGGGCCAAAGGACUUGGUUCAUCAAUUGCAUAAAGGUACUUGGUGCAUUUGAGAGUCCAAAUGUCAUGACUGGCCAUUCAAACAACCCUUCUUUGUCUUGAAGGCUGUUUUGCAUUCAUCCCUGGGUUUGAUACGAAUUUGGUGAUAUCCGCUUCUUAAAUCUAGCUUUGUGAACACUCUUUCUCCACUAAGCUGAUUCAACAUAUCAUCUAGACGGGGAAUUGGGAAUCUAUACCUUACGGUGAUGCUGUUAAUGGCUCUGCUGUCCAUACACAUGCGCCAAUAUCCAUCUUUUUUGGGCGUGAGCAGGGCUGGUACAACACAUGGGCUAAUACUUUCUCGAAUGUGCCCCUUUUGCAGCAAUUCCUCCACUUUCUCGUUCAAUAUUACCAUGCUCUUUUGGGCUCAUUCGAUAGUGUGGAAUAUUAUUAAGACUUGCUCCCAGAAUUAAGUCAAUUCUAUGUUGAAUUCCUCUCACUGGUGGCAGGCCUUGCGGCUCUCCAAUAUCCACAUCAAAUUGCCAAGGUCUUCCUAGAAGGACAUGACUGGCAUCCAUAUCAACUACAUCAGACAACACAUUUGAGCGAUAAUGCUUGACCAAAGAAAGUGGCAGGUUGCAUUGUUUGGUGAUCCUCAUAUUCACCCAAUAGUGCAGGGGUUUGGAUUCACGAGUCUCAAGCUUUAAAUGGUUCACCAACUUCUGGGAGAUAAGAUUCUCGCAGCUACAACUAUCAAUCACUAAUUUGCAUACCUUGCCAUUCACCGUGCAUUUGCUCUCAAAUAUUUUCUUCCGUUGUGUGUCAUCAGGUUGUGAUGUGGAACAUAGGAGACGCUGAAUCACACAUACCACCUCUCCACCUUCUUCUUGACAGACGUCCUGUCCAUCUAUAUCCUCAGAUUCGUAUUCUUCCUCAUUUCCUUCACCAUCAUGGAUAGUUGUGUUAACAAAUUUCCUCAAUGGCGGACGUCUGUAACUUAACUUUUCACUUUUCAAUGCAAAGAAAUCAAAGCUUUUGCGUUUUCUUGAAAAUUUUUCCUCAAUGGGCAACCGCUGGAUAUGUGUCCCUCUUCACCGCAUUUAUAUCAUUUUGGGCCUUCAUUCGCCUUAACCUUGCCUCUAGUUUGCUUCGGGAUGGGCUGUUCUGCCUUUGGUGGAGCAGUCUUUUCUUCCACUCUAUUAGUGUGACUCCUAGAUGAGCCUUCAACAUGAGGACAUGUAGUCUUAGUUGUCUUUCUUGUCCUCACAAACCUCUCGGCCUUUAAGGCUAGAGCAUGUGCUUGAUCAAUGGACCAGAUUUGUUGCACCAUCAAUCGGUCUUGAAUAGCAUCAUUGAGACCAUCGAUGUACCUUGCAACUUGUAAUCUGCAAUUUCGGUAAGGUUGCACCUCACUUGUAACCUUAGAAACUCCUCCGUGUAAUCUGAAACAGUUCUAUUCCCUUAAAUACAGUUUUGAAAUUGGAUAAAUAGGAUCUGAUCAUAAUCAGCAAGCAAAAUUCUCCCUUUCAAAAGACUCUUCAUUUGCCGGCAAGCUCUCACACGAGGUUCUCCUCUCAGCCUAUGCUCUUCUUGAACGCGGUGCCACGAUGCACUGGCUCCUCCUUUCAGCUUGUACGCGACCAAAGGAACUCUACGAUCUUCCGGAACCUCCAUGACCUCGAAGAAAGUCUCCACUUCAUAUAACCAAUCAAGGCACCCUUCAGUAUCAAUAUUUCCAUUAAAAGUUGGGAUCUCAGCUUUCAGCUUGUAUGUAUCCCUUGCAUAUGUAGGGUUGGGUACUCUCCGAUAUGCAUAGAGAUCAGGUUCUUCAAGGGCAUCAUCAUAUUCUUCACCUUCAGAAGUUUCAACAUAAAUGGCCUUCUUGAAGUACGCUGAAUUGCACAUUGUUGUGGUGAUCUUGCUCCAACAGGCCUCACUCCGCUCGCUCCUCAGAAGUUGGCCUUUCUCUUUAUACUUGAAUUUGGAGCAUAACAUAACACUAUAUAUCACACAUGACUUGGGGUACAAGGAUGAACACAUAGCCGAAUACAGACUCCUAGGCCAAUAGCAAUACUCCUUAACACUCCCCUCAAAUGCAAAGCGGAUGGAAUAGCAUUGCAUUUGAUGAAGUGUAACACUAGAAGAAAAUAAUAAUCCAAAAUCCACGGCUUGAGAGUAUCGUUGUAGCAUGGAGAGUCUUCAAAACCUGUCGAGUCAAGCCAAUAGGAAUACUAAUACACACUACCCUUAAAUGCAAAGCAUAUGCAAUUGCAUUGCAUUUGAAGAAGUGUAACACUAGAAGAAAAUAAUAAUCCAAAAUCCGCGUCUUGAGAGUGUCAUUGUAGCAUGGAGAGUCUUUAAAACCUGUCAAGUCAAGCCAAUAGGAAUAACGAGAAGAUGGCGCAUCAGAGGAAGACACCACAUCAGUAGAAGAUACAAGAUAAGUAUCAAAGAGAAGAUGUGUUGUCAAAAGAAGAUGGCACAUCAAAGGAAUGAAGCAUUGCGCAUAAAA